Molecule: ribosomal RNA, 476 nt
Filed under: uncultured bacterium
Lineage: Bacteria
Description: partial 16S ribosomal RNA
Rfam family: Bacterial small subunit ribosomal RNA
Source: RNAcentral
GAUGAACGCUGGCGGCGUGCCUAACACAUGCAAGUCGAGCGAGAUUAUUCUUCGGAAUAGUAUAGCGGCGGACGGGUGAGUAACACGUGGGCAACCUGCCUUGUAGAGGGGGAUAGCCUUCCGAAAGGAAGAUUAAUACCGCAUAACGUUAUUGAAAGGCAUCUUUAGAUAAUCAAAGGAGCAAUCGGCUACAAGAUGGGCCCGCGGCGCAUUAGCUAGUUGGUGAGGGAACGGCUCACCAAGGCGACGAUGCGUAGCCGACCUGAGAGGGUGAGCGGCCACAUUGGGACUGAGACACGGCCCAGACUCCGACGGGAGGCAGCAGUGGGGAAUAUUGCACAAUGGGGGAAACCCUGAUGCAGCAACGCCGCGUGAGUGAUGACGGCCUUCGGGUUGUAAAGCUCUGUCUUUGGGGACGAUAAUGACGGUACCCAAGGAGGAAGUCACGGCUAACUACGUGCCAGCCGCCGCAGUAA